GAAUAUUGGACAAUGGGGGGAACCCUGAUCCAGCCAUGCCGCUUGUGUGAAGAAGGCCUUUUGGUUGUAAAGCACUUUAAGCGAGGAGGAGGCUACUCUAGUUACUACCUAGAGAUAGUGGACGUUACCCGCAGCAUAAGCCCCGGCUAACUCUGGCCACCCACCAGCGGUAAUACAGAGGGUGCAAGCGUUAAUCGGAUUUACUGGGCGUAAAGCGCGCGCAGGUGGCCAAUUAAGUCAAAUGUGAAAUCCCCGAGCUUAACUUGGGAAUUGCAUUCGAUACUGGUUGGCUAGAGUAUGGGAGAGGAUGGUAGAAUUCCAGGUGUAGCGGUGAAAUGCGUAGAGAUCUGGAGGAAUACCGAUGGCGAAGGCAGCCAUCUGGCCUAAUACUGACACUGAGGUGCGAAAGCAUGGGGAGCAAAC
RNAcentral lists this ribosomal RNA (423 nucleotides) under uncultured bacterium. Its description in RNAcentral is "bacterial SSU rRNA". It matches the Rfam family "Bacterial small subunit ribosomal RNA", at positions 359 to 773 of the family's 1533-position model. The record is from RNAcentral.